UGGGGAAUAUUGCGCAAUGGGCGGAAGCCUGACGCAGCGACGCCGCGUGGGGGAUGACGGCCUUCGGGUUGUAAACCUCUUUCAGCUCCGACGAAGCUUUCGGGUGACGGUAGGGGCAGAAGAAGCGCCGGCCAACUACGUGCCAGCAGCCGCGGUAAUACGUAGGGCGCAAGCGUUGUCCGGAUUUAUUGGGCGUAAAGAGCUCGUAGGCGGUUUGUCACGUCGUCCGUGAAAACUACAGGCUUAACCUGUGGCUUGCGGUCGAUACGGGCUGACUGGAGUGCGGUAGGGGAGACUGGAAUUCCUGGUGUAGCGGUGAAAUGCGCAGAUAUCAGGAGGAACACCGGUGGCGAAGGCGGGUCUCUGGGCCGUUACUGACGCUGAGGAGCGAAAGCGUGGGGAGCGAACAG
This 410-nucleotide ribosomal RNA is filed under the name uncultured bacterium. Its description in RNAcentral is "bacterial SSU rRNA". It matches the Rfam family "Bacterial small subunit ribosomal RNA", at positions 355 to 775 of the family's 1533-position model. The record is from RNAcentral.